CCUGACCAUAGCUCUGAAGAUGAGUACAUCUUUUGCAAGUCUUGAUCUGUGCACCUCUUCAACUGAUGACCAGCAUGAAAAAAAUAUGAUUAUGAUUAGGCUUUUUGCAAGUCUUGGAUUUGUGCACUUUUUAAUUAGGGAUGGAUGGCAAUAUGCCAAUAUGAUUGCCGUAGCUUGAGGCUUUGAGGUUGAUGAAGGUCCAAGUCUGUUUGGAGAAGGAAACAUGCUAGGAAACAAAGUGUGGUCAUGGUCCGCCGCAAGAAAAGAGGUGCAUUUCGUACUAUAUAUACUUCUUUUCUCUAUUGGAUCAUUUAGUGUGAAAAUCCAACAUUUUUUUUGGCUCUAAGUGAACAGAUGUUUUUUUGAAGGGCUCGGGUCAUGAAAAUUGAACUGUGAUUAUCCAAUGGUUAUUGUUAUUACUGUUGCAACCGGACGCCAUUUGAUGUUAUGCUUGGACGGAUGAACACAUUCAGAUUUAUUAUUACUUGGAGACAAGAUGUCAAAUAUAUGUUCUGGUCAUCCAUGGGAACUGUUUGGGAGGGUUGUGUUUGCACACGCUUUUGCUUGUACAUAAAGAUUUAUGUUCUAGAAACCAGUGGAAAUCAUUUUUGGUCUGCAAUUGGCUGUCGUAAACUGAAUCAUUUUUGGCAAUGGGAAUGCGAUCAAUUUGCACACAUUUAA
Molecule: non-coding RNA, 681 nt
Organism: Oryza sativa Japonica Group (Japanese rice)
Lineage: Eukaryota; Viridiplantae; Streptophyta; Magnoliopsida; Poales; Poaceae
Source: RefSeq, a predicted model, not a curated record